GUAUAGUGUUAUAGGCACAAGGCCCACUUAUUACAUUCUAUAACAUACAUUAGAGUAUAUGAAUAAACAUAGACCCGGAAAUAUAAGGAGAGACAAUAUCAAUCCCAAAACCUUAAUGCUAGCAUUAAGAAACUUGUCCAGGUCUACAAAUGGUGCACAGGUGGAGAUAUAAAGAUGACAGGUGUGCACAUGUUCAUUAAAGAACCAGCAGCAACCCAUCAGGUUUAUUUCAAUAAUGAUCCUUCCGCAGGUUCACCUACGGAAA
This 265-nucleotide unclassified non-coding RNA is filed under the name uncultured fungus. RNAcentral describes it as "sequence contains ITS1". The record is from RNAcentral. Lineage: Eukaryota; Fungi.